AUACGACGAUUAUUGCGAUGAGUGUUCACACAGAUUGAUAUGGUUUAGAUUAGAGCAUCUAGUGGGUCUGUAGCUCAGGUGGUUAGAGCGUACGCCUGAUAAGCGUAAGGUCGGUGGUUCGAGUCCACUCAGACCCACCACUCAACGAUGGGGUUAUAGCUCAGCUGGGAGAGCGCCUGCCUUGCACGCAGGAGGUCUGCGGUUCGAUCCCGCAUAGCUCCACCAUCUUUAAAGGUUUUUCCUUAAGAAUCUUUAAAAAUGGUUUUCAUUAGAAAAUCUUGCUCUUUAACAAUUUGGAAAGCUGACAAAACAACAAUUUAUUGUUGUUUGUAAAGUUCUCAAUGUUUGUCUUUAUGACAAACACCAACAAACACAUUCAAGUGUUCUUGGGAAUGUCACUGUUAAGUGACUAUUCGAAAUUGAGUCCGGCAAAAUCAACGCUAUCUCGCUCAUUCAAAUAAUGAGAUAGCAACUUUGGUUGUUUGACCGUUUGUCUUCACUUUUUAAAGUGAAAGCAAAUAGAAGACCCUUUGGGGUUGUAU
This 542-nucleotide transfer RNA is filed under the name Vibrio vulnificus. The stretch from base 64 to 137 matches the Rfam family "tRNA". The record is from RNAcentral. Lineage: Bacteria; Pseudomonadati; Pseudomonadota; Gammaproteobacteria; Vibrionales; Vibrionaceae.